RNAcentral lists this ribosomal RNA (460 nucleotides) under uncultured bacterium. RNAcentral's name for it is "partial 16S ribosomal RNA". It matches the Rfam family "Bacterial small subunit ribosomal RNA", at positions 338 to 795 of the family's 1533-position model. The record is from RNAcentral.
CCUACGGGUGGCAGCAGUGAGGAAUAUUGGUCAAUGGGCGGAAGCCUGAACCAGCCAAGUAGCGUGCAGGAUGACGGCCCUACGGGUUGUAAACUGCUUUUAUACGGGAAUAACGCGCCUUACGUGUAGGGCUCUGCAUGUACCGUAUGAAUAAGGACCGGCUAAUUCCGUGCCAGCAGCCGCGGUAAUACGGAAGGUCCGGGCGUUAUCCGGAUUUAUUGGGGUUAAAGGGAGCGUAGGCGGCAUGUCAAGUGCGCUGUGAAAUGUCCGGGCUGAACCCGGGCCUUGCAGUGAAACCUGGCGGGCUUGAGGUCGCAGAAGGCAGGCGGAAUUCGUGGUGUAGCGGUGAAAUGCUUAGAUAUGACGAAGAACCCCGAUUGCGAAGGCAGCUUGCUGCGGUGGAACUGACGCUGAGGCUCGAAAGUGCGGGUAUCGAACAGGAUUAGAUACCCUGGUAGUC